This is a long non-coding RNA of Symphalangus syndactylus (siamang), 213 nucleotides long. RefSeq lists it as uncharacterized. The record is from RefSeq and is a predicted model, not a curated record. NCBI's taxonomy places the organism in Eukaryota, Metazoa, Chordata, Mammalia, Primates, Hylobatidae.
GUGUGUGGUGGGUGUAGAUGUGUGUGUGGUGUGUGGGGGGGUGUGUGUAGGUGUAUGAGUGGAGGUGUGGUGUGUGGAGGUGUGUGUGGUGGGUGUAGAUGUGUGUGUGGUGUGUGUAGGUGUAUGAGUGGAGGUGUGGUGUGUGGAGGUGUAUGGGUGUGUAGGUGUAUGAGUGGAGGUGUAGUGUGUGGUGGAUGUGGUGGCUGGUGUAGA